Molecule: ribosomal RNA, 468 nt
Filed under: uncultured bacterium
Lineage: Bacteria
Description: partial 16S ribosomal RNA
Rfam family: Bacterial small subunit ribosomal RNA
Source: RNAcentral
GACGAACGCUGGCGGCGUGCUUAACACAUGCAAGUCGAACGGAAAGGCCCUGCUUUUGUGGGGUGCUCGAGUGGCGAACGGGUGAGUAACACGUGAGUAACCUGCCCUUGACUUUGGGGUAACUUCAGGAAACUGGGGCUAUUACCGGAUAGGAGCUCCUGCUGCAUGGUGGGGGUUGGAAAGUUUCGGCGGUUGGGGAUGGACUCGCGGCUUAUCAGCUUGUUGGUGGAGUAGUGGCUUACCAAGGCUUUGACGGGUAGCCGGCCUGAGAGGGUGACCGGCCACAUUGGGACUGAGAUACGGCCCAGACUCCUACGGGAGGCAGCAGUCGGGAAUAUUGCACAAUGGGCGGAAGCCUGAUGCAGCAACGCCGCGUGCGGGAUGACGGCCUUCGGGUUGUAAACCGCUUUCGCCUGUGACGAAGCGUGAGUGACGGUAAUGGGUAAAGAAGCACCGGCUAACUACGUG